GAUGAACGCUGACAGAAUGCUUAACACAUGCAAGUCUACUUGAAUUUGGGUUUUUGACUUAGGUUUGGGUGGCGGACGGGUGAGUAACGCGUAAAGAACUUGCCUCACAGCUAGGGACAACAUUUAGAAAUGAAUGCUAAUACCUAAUAUUAUGAUAAUAGGGCAUCCUAUAAUUAUGAAAGCUAUAUGCGCUGUGAGAGAGCUUUGCGUCCUAUUAGCUAGUUGGUAAGGUAAAGGCUUACCAAGGCGAUGAUAGGUAGCCGGCCUGAGAGGGUGGACGGCCACAAGGGGACUGAGAUACGGCCCUUACUCCUACGGGAGGCAGCAGUGGGGAAUAUUGGACAAUGGAGGAAACUCUGAUCCAGCAAUUCUGUGUGUGUGAAGAAGGUCUUCGGAUUGUAAAACACUUUUAGUUGGGAAGAAACAAAUGACGGUACCAAC
Molecule: ribosomal RNA, 441 nt
Filed under: Fusobacteria bacterium oral taxon 220
Lineage: Bacteria; Fusobacteriati; Fusobacteriota
Description: bacterial SSU rRNA
Rfam family: Bacterial small subunit ribosomal RNA
Source: RNAcentral